CACGUAGGCACCAAGCGUUGUCCGGAUUUAUUGGGCGUAAAGAGCUCGUAGGCGGUUCAGUAAGUCGGGUGUGAAAACUUUGGGCUUAACCCAAAGCGUGCAUCUGAUACUGCUGUGACUUGAGUUCGGUAGGGGAGUGGGGAAUUCCUAGUGUAGCGGUGAAAUGCGCAGAUAUUAGGAGGAACACCGGUGGCGAAGGCGGGUCUCUGGGCAGUAACUGACGCUGAGGAGCGAAAGCGUGGGGAGCGAACAGG
RNAcentral lists this ribosomal RNA (254 nucleotides) under uncultured bacterium. RNAcentral describes it as "partial 16S ribosomal RNA". It matches the Rfam family "Bacterial small subunit ribosomal RNA", at positions 524 to 776 of the family's 1533-position model. The record is from RNAcentral.